This 73-nucleotide transfer RNA is filed under the name Pseudomonadota bacterium. RNAcentral's name for it is "Proteobacteria bacterium tRNA-Thr". It matches the Rfam family "tRNA". Rfam says of the family: Transfer RNA (tRNA) molecules are approximately 80 nucleotides in length. Their secondary structure includes four short double-helical elements and three loops (D, anti-codon, and T loops). Further hydrogen bonds mediate the characteristic L-shaped molecular structure. tRNAs have two regions of fundamental functional importance: the anti-codon, which is responsible for specific mRNA codon recognition, and the 3' end, to which the tRNAs corresponding amino acid is attached (by aminoacyl-tRNA synthetases). tRNAs cope with the degeneracy of the genetic code in two manners: having more than one tRNA (with a specific anti-codon) for a particular amino acid; and 'wobble' base-pairing, i.e. permitting non-standard base-pairing at the 3rd anti-codon position. Lineage: Bacteria; Pseudomonadati; Pseudomonadota. RNAcentral also lists the same sequence under 4 other names. The record is from RNAcentral.
GCCACCCUAGCUCAGUUGGUAGAGCGGAGCUUUCGUAAAGCUCAGGUCGCGAGUUCGAGUCUCGCGGGUGGCU